GAAACAAGGAUGUGGAGACAACGUUUCAGCUCCUCUCUGAGCCUUUAUCAAGUUUAUCAGAGAGGAGCCGAAACGUUGUCUCCACUUCCUUGUUU
This is a non-coding RNA of Pelobates cultripes (western spadefoot toad), 95 nucleotides long. The record is from the annotation of a GenBank genome assembly. NCBI's taxonomy places the organism in Eukaryota, Metazoa, Chordata, Amphibia, Anura, Pelobatidae.